Molecule: ribosomal RNA, 478 nt
Filed under: uncultured bacterium
Lineage: Bacteria
Description: partial 16S ribosomal RNA
Rfam family: Bacterial small subunit ribosomal RNA
Source: RNAcentral
GAUGAACGCUGGCGGCGUGCUUAACACAUGCAAGUCGAACGGGAAACCUUUUAUUGAAGCUUCGGCAGAUUUAGCUGGUUUCUAGUGGCGGACGGGUGAGUAACGCGUGGGUAACCUGCCUUAUACAGGGGGAUAACAGUCAGAAAUGGCUGCUAAUACCGCAUAAGAGCACAGAGCUGCAUGGCACAGUGUGAAAAACUCCGGUUGUAUAAGAUGGACCCGCGUUGGAUUAGCUGGAUGGUGGGGUAACGGCCCACAAAGGCGACGAUCCAUAGCCGGCCUGAGAGGGUGAACGGCCACAUUGGGACUGAGACACGGCCCAGACUCCUACGGGAGGCAGCAGUGGGGAAUAUUGCACAAUGGGGGAAACCCUGAUGCAGCGACGCCGCGUGAAGGAAGAAGUAUCUCGGUAUGUAAUCUUCUAUCAGCAGGGAAGAUAAUGACGGUACCUGACUAAGAAGCCCCGGCUAACUACGUG